This 387-nucleotide ribosomal RNA is filed under the name Gonatium japonicum. RNAcentral describes it as "partial 16S ribosomal RNA". Lineage: Eukaryota; Metazoa; Arthropoda; Arachnida; Araneae; Linyphiidae. The record is from RNAcentral.
AAAAACAUUUCUUAUAAUUUUAUUAUAAGUAAAAUCUGCUCAAUGAAUAAUAAAUAGCCGCAGAAUAUUAACUGUGCUAAGGUAGCAUAAUCAUUUACCUUUUAAUUAAAGGUUUGCAUGAAUGAUUUAACAAUUUAACUAUUUUUUUAUAAAUAACUAUUUAAACUAAAUUAAAAAUAAAAAUGUUUUUAUAUUUAAGAAAGACGAUAAGACCCUAUUGAACUUUACUAAUGUUUAGCUGGGGAAGCUAAUUAAAUAUAAUUUUAAUUUUAAUUAACUAAUAAAUAUCUGAUAUAAUCAAAUUAAACAAGUUACCAUAGGGAUAACAGCAUAAUAUAAUUUUAAAGCUCAUAUUAAAAAUUAAGAUUAUGACCUCGAUGUUGAAUU